UACGUAGGGGGCAAGCGUUGUCCGGAUUUAUUGGGCGUAAAGAGCGUGUAGGCGGCCAGGUAGGUCAGCUGUGAAACUCGAGGCUCAACCUCGAGACGUCGGUUGAAACCAUCUGGCUAGAGUCCGGAAGAGGAGAGUGGAAUUCCUGGUGUAGCGGUGAAAUGCGCAGAUAUCAGGAAGAACACCCGUGGCGAAGGCGGCUCUCUGGGACGGUACUGACGCUGAGACGCGAAAAGCGUGGGGGAGCGAACAGG
Molecule: ribosomal RNA, 254 nt
Filed under: uncultured bacterium
Lineage: Bacteria
Description: partial 16S ribosomal RNA
Rfam family: Bacterial small subunit ribosomal RNA
Source: RNAcentral